UUGUUAUUCAAGUGUCCAAAAG
RNAcentral lists this non-coding RNA (22 nucleotides) under Arabidopsis thaliana (thale cress). Lineage: Eukaryota; Viridiplantae; Streptophyta; Magnoliopsida; Brassicales; Brassicaceae. The record is from RNAcentral.